This 253-nucleotide ribosomal RNA is filed under the name uncultured bacterium. RNAcentral's name for it is "partial 16S ribosomal RNA". It matches the Rfam family "Bacterial small subunit ribosomal RNA", at positions 524 to 776 of the family's 1533-position model. The record is from RNAcentral.
UACAGAGGUCCCAAGCGUUGUUCGGAUUCAUUGGGCGUAAAGGGUGCGUAGGUGGCAUGGUAAGUCGGGUGUGAAAUCCCGGGGCUCAACCCCGGAACUGCACUCGAUACUGCCGUGCUCGAGUACUGGAGAGGAGACUGGAAUUUACGGUGUAGCAGUGAAAUGCGUAGAUAUCGUAAGGAAGACCGGUGGCGAAGGCUAGUCUCUGGACAGUUACUGACACUGAGGCACGAAAGCCAGGGGAGCAAACAGG